UACAGAGGUCUCAAGCGUUGUUCGGAUUCAUUGGGCGUAAAGGGAGCGUAGGCGGAUAGUUUAGUCAGAGGUGAAAGCCCAGGGCUCAACCUUGGAAUUGCCUUUGAUACUGGCUAUCUUGAGUACGGAAGAGGUAUGUGGAACUCCGAGUGUAGAGGUGAAAUUCGUAGAUAUUCGGAAGAACACCAGUGGCGAAGGCGACAUACUGGUCCGUUACUGACGCUGAGGCUCGAAAGCGUGGGGAGCAAACAGG
RNAcentral lists this ribosomal RNA (253 nucleotides) under uncultured bacterium. RNAcentral's name for it is "partial 16S ribosomal RNA". It matches the Rfam family "Bacterial small subunit ribosomal RNA", at positions 524 to 776 of the family's 1533-position model. The record is from RNAcentral.